This 253-nucleotide ribosomal RNA is filed under the name uncultured bacterium. RNAcentral describes it as "partial 16S ribosomal RNA". It matches the Rfam family "Bacterial small subunit ribosomal RNA", at positions 524 to 776 of the family's 1533-position model. The record is from RNAcentral.
UACAGAGGUCUCAAGCGUUGUUCGGAUUCAUUGGGCGUAAAGGGUGCGUAGGCGGCGCGGUAAGUCGGGGGUGAAAUCCUGGAGCUCAACUCCAGAACUGCCUUCGAUACUGGGAAGCUCGAGUUCGGGAGAGGUGAGUGGAACUGCGAGUGUAGAGGUGAAAUUCGUAGAUAUUCGCAAGAACACCAGUGGCGAAGGCGGCUCACUGGCCCGAUACUGACGCUGAGGUGCGAAAGCGUGGGGAGCAAACAGG